Molecule: RNA transcript, 1279 nt
Organism: Mastomys coucha (southern multimammate mouse)
Lineage: Eukaryota; Metazoa; Chordata; Mammalia; Rodentia; Muridae
Gene name: protein TFG pseudogene
Exons: 1
Source: RefSeq, a predicted model, not a curated record
AUGGUGGCCUCGCAGUGGCUGGGUCAGCUGAGGCAUUGGCCUCAGCAAGCAGGUUUUUUUCCCCUAGAGUUGUAUAUAGAGUGCAUCCUGGAGUCCACAGUGAACGGACAGUUGGACCUAAGUGAGAAGCUGAUUAUCAAACUCAACUUGGGGAAGAUAUCCAUUGAAUUCCAAUUCAUAAUGAAGACAUUACUUAUAAUGCUUUAGUGCUAAUGAUGCAGCAGGUAUUCAGAGGAAAACUUCUGAGUAAUGGUGAAGCUACAAUAAAGUAUAAGGAUGAAGAUGGAGAUCCCAUAACAAUUUUUAAUAGUUCUGACCUUUCCUUUGCAAUUCAGUGUAGUAGAAUACUGAAACUGACAUUAUUUGUUAAUAGCCAGUCAAGACCCCUUGAAUCAAGUCAGGUGAAAUAUCUUCAUUGAGAACUGGUAGAACUUCGAAAUAAAGUGAAUAGCUUGCUUAUUGGACAGCUUAGAGCCACCUGGAGAACCAGGACCUUCUACCAGUAUUCCUGAAAUCGAUACUGCGGAUGUUAGGGAAGAAAAGCCUGCUGCUUCUGAUUCUUCUGGGAACCAGUCUACUCAGGUUAUGGCAGCAAGUAUGUCAGCUUUUGAUCCUCUGAAAAACCAAGAUGGAAUCAACAAAAACAUCAUGUCAGCAUGUGGAUUAACGGAUGACCAGGUUUCAGGACCACCCAGUGCUCCUACAGAAGAGCGUUCCGGAGCUCCUGAUAGCAUUGCUUCUUCCUCUCCAGCAGCACACCCAGCAAGCAGUUCAGCCACAGCAGCCUCCCUACAUGGGAGCUCAGACACAAGCAGGUCAGCUAGAAGGCCACAUGUACCUGCAUGUGCACAGCGGCCUCAGGCCCCUCCUCAGCAGUGCGGUAUUCAGUAUUAAGCUAGUUACAGCCAGCAGACUGGACCCCAACAACCUCACCAGUUCCAGGGAUAUGGCCAAUAACCAACUUCACAGGCACCACCUCUUGCCUUUUCUGGCCAGCCACAACUGCCUACUCAAUCACCACAGCAGUACCAGGCUAGCACUUACCCUCCACAAACUUAUACCACCCAAAUAUCUCAACCUGCUAACUACACUGUUCCCCCUGGCUCUCAGCCUGGAAUGGCUCUAAGCCAACCUGGUGCUUACCAACCAAGACUAGGUUUUACGCCAUCUCCUCCAAGUAUCAUGACCCCUCCUUCCAGUGAAACUAAACCUUAUGCUCCUAACUGUCCUCCUUUUGGUCAGGGCUAUACCCACCUAGACCUGGUUAUUGAAAAGAAGC